RNAcentral lists this ribosomal RNA (271 nucleotides) under uncultured bacterium. RNAcentral describes it as "partial 16S ribosomal RNA". It matches the Rfam family "Bacterial small subunit ribosomal RNA", at positions 84 to 353 of the family's 1533-position model. The record is from RNAcentral.
UUUGAUGGCGACCGGCGCACGGGUGAGUAACACGUAUCCAACCUGCCGAUGACUCGGGGGAUAGCCUUUCGAAAGAAAGAUUAAUACCCGAUGGCAUAGUUCUUCCGCAUGGUGGAACUAUUAAAGAAUUUCGGUCAUCGAUGGGGAUGCGUUCCAUUAGGUUGUUGGCGGGGUAACGGCCCACCAAGCCUUCGAUGGAUAGGGGUUCUGAGAGGAAGGUCCCCCACAUUGGAACUGAGACACGGUCCAAACUCCUACGGGAGGCAGCAUG